GUCUACGGCCAUACAACCCUGAACGUGCCUGAAGCUAAGCAGGGUCGGGCCUGGUUAGUACUUGGAUAGGAAAGAGCUAGGAUAUAUAUU
Molecule: ribosomal RNA, 90 nt
Organism: Panthera pardus (leopard)
Lineage: Eukaryota; Metazoa; Chordata; Mammalia; Carnivora; Felidae
Source: Ensembl